This is a non-coding RNA of Mus caroli (Ryukyu mouse), 2417 nucleotides long. Lineage: Eukaryota; Metazoa; Chordata; Mammalia; Rodentia; Muridae. The record is from RefSeq and is a predicted model, not a curated record.
GGCUGUCGUCCGGUGGCGGGCGGGCGGGCAGCUGAGGCUCGGGGCCUGGUCCCCCCCAGCACCAUGGCCAAGACCGUGGCGUAUUUCUACGACCCCGAUGUGGGCAACUUCCACUACGGAGCUGGACACCCAAUGAAACCUCAUCGCCUGGCAUUGACUCAUAGCCUAGUCCUGCAUUAUGGUCUCUAUAAGAAGAUGAUCGUCUUCAAGCCUUACCAGGCCUCCCAGCACGACAUGUGCCGCUUCCAUUCUGAGGACUACAUCGACUUCCUGCAGAGAGUCAGCCCCACCAAUAUGCAGGGUUUCACCAAGAGCCUUAAUGCCUUCAACGUGGGUGAUGACUGCCCAGUGUUUCCCGGGCUUUUCGAGUUCUGCUCCCGUUACACCGGCGCAUCUCUGCAAGGAGCAACACAGCUAAACAACAAGAUCUGUGAUAUUGCCAUCAACUGGGCCGGUGGUCUACAUCAUGCCAAGAAAUUUGAGGCCUCUGGCUUCUGCUAUGUCAACGACAUAGUAAUUGGUAUCCUGGAGCUGCUUAAGUACCACCCUCGGGUGCUCUACAUUGAUAUCGACAUCCACCAUGGUGAUGGGGUUCAGGAAGCCUUCUACCUCACUGACCGGGUCAUGACUGUGUCCUUCCACAAAUACGGAAAUUACUUCUUUCCUGGAACAGGUGACAUGUAUGAAGUUGGAGCCGAGAGUGGCCGCUACUAUUGUCUCAAUGUGCCCUUACGAGAUGGCAUUGAUGACCAGAGUUACAAGCACCUUUUCCAGCCAGUCAUCAGCCAGGUGGUGGACUUCUAUCAGCCGACGUGCAUCGUGCUCCAGUGUGGCGCGGACUCCCUGGGCUGUGAUCGAUUAGGCUGCUUCAAUCUCAGCAUUCGAGGACAUGGGGAAUGUGUUGAAUAUGUCAAGAGUUUCAAUAUCCCUCUCCUGGUACUGGGAGGUGGUGGCUACACUGUCCGAAACGUUGCCCGGUGUUGGACAUAUGAAACAUCUCUGCUGGUAGAAGAGGCCAUUAGUGAGGAGCUUCCCUAUAGUGGUAAGAUCCACGUCAUGACGCCACCACAGGGGGACACCAUUCUCACCAGCCCUCAGAAUGACCUUGUUUGCAGGGAAAUUGUACCUUCUGGUAGCUCUGCAGACUCAAUCCCUGCGCUCAGAGCAGAGCACAUACUCUUACACAUGGGGACCAGGCCUCGGAGAGGAGAUCAGAAAGCUAUGGGAUUCACUCUUGGGUGUCUCAGGCAUACUCUUGUUCAUCCCCUCUCCCAAUUGCUUCUCAUCUCUAAGAAUACUUCGAGUACUUUGCCCCAGAUUUCACACUCCAUCCAGAUGUCAGCACCCGCAUCGAGAAUCAGAACUCACGCCAGGUUAGCAGCUUGGGGAGGCUGGACACAGCAAUGGGGUGGGGGGUGGGGGGCGCUCAGGAGAGGUCCAGGAGGGGGGAAGUGGAGAGAGCAAGAGGAGGAAGUUUUGGGCUUCCACUGUCGCUCUUAUCGUGGGGUUGGUGGGGAGGGACAGUUACCAACUGAGGAUCUGACCUUGAAAUACUACGUUAGACCAGGACGGUCAGGGACGAAGGUGGGUAGGGUGUCGUGUACUAUAGGAAUCACCCCAGCACCGCUGACUUUCUUUCUUCUAAACUAGUAUCUGGACCAGAUCCGCCAGACAAUCUUUGAAAACUUGAAGAUGCUGAACCAUGCACCCAGUGUUCAGAUUCAUGAUGUCCCGGCAGACCUCCUGACGUAUGACAGGACUGACGAGGCUGACGCUGAAGAGAGAGGUCCCGAGGAGAACUACAGCAGGCCAGAAGCACCCAAUGAGUUCUAUGAUGGCGACCAUGACAAUGACAAGGAAAGUGAUGUGGAAAUUUAGAGCAGCAUGGAUGCUGUGUCCCCAAGAGUUCCUUGUCACCUCUGUGGUGAUAAGGAAAGUAUGGCUCCCCCAGGUCUGAACUGGGUACCCCCAGGGUGUUUACUAACUCUGGUGAAGGGUUUGGAAACCACAUGUGGUUCUAGAAUCAACUCCCCUUUCCCUCAAACUCUCACGGCCUGAUGAUUGUCCCUCUCAGGGAUGAGACAUGGACAGGUCUCUGGAACGUUAUGGGUAAUGAGCCCCAGCAGCUGUCCCCAGCCCCUCUUCCCCUCAUUUGUUCCUUCUGUCCUUCCAACACAGAGACUGUUAGAGAUGAAAGUUUGGACGGUACUAAAGUCACCUCUGACUUCCUUCUGGGUUCCCCUACUACAGUUCUUGCUUCCAUGCAAGGUGAACCUGAGGGGAGGAAGGCAUGGCUCUCUGAAACCUUAACUGCAGAUGAAGUACAGUGGCAAGGAGGAGGGGGUGUGAAGCUCUAACUGGCUUUAUGUCCAUUUUACUGUUUUGGAUCUAAUAAACCAAUUGGUAUUUUUUUUGUA